Molecule: ribosomal RNA, 995 nt
Filed under: uncultured bacterium
Lineage: Bacteria
Description: bacterial SSU rRNA
Rfam family: Bacterial small subunit ribosomal RNA
Source: RNAcentral
GGGGAACAUUGCACAAUGGGGGAAACCCUGAUGCAGCGACGCCGCGUGGAGGAAGAAGGUCUUCGGAUUGUAAACUCCUGUUGUUGAGGAAGAUGAUGACGGUACUCAACAAGGAAGUGACGGCUAACUACGUGCCAGCAGCCGCGGUAAAACGUAGGUCACAAGCGUUGUCCGGAAUUACUGGGUGUAAAGGGAGCGCAGGCGGGAAGACAAGUUGGAAGUGAAAUCUAUGGGCUCAACCCAUAAACUGCUUUCAAAACUGUUUUUCUUGAGUAGUGCAGAGGUAGGCGGAAUUCCCGGUGUAGCGGUGGAAUGCGUAGAUAUCGGGAGGAACACCAGUGGCGAAGGCGGCCUACUGGGCACCAACUGACGCUGAGGCUCGAAAGUGUGGGUAGCAAACAGGAUUAGAUACCCUGGUAGUCCACACCGUAAACGAUGAUUACUAGGUGUUGGAGGAUUGACCCCUUCAGUGCCGCAGUUAACACAAUAAGUAAUCCACCUGGGGAGUACGACCGCAAGGUUGAAACUCAAAGGAAUUGACGGGGGCCCGCACAAGCAGUGGAGUAUGUGGUUUAAUUCGACGCAACGCGAAGAACCUUACCAAGUCUUGACAUCCUGCGACGAUGCUGGAAACAGUAUUUUCCUUCGGGACGCAGAGACAGGUGGUGCAUGGUUGUCGUCAGCUCGUGUCGUGAGAUGUUGGGUUAAGUCCCGCAACGAGCGCAACCCUUACUGUCAGUUACUACGCAAGAGGACUCUGGCAGGACUGCCGUUGACAAAACGGAGGAAGGUGGGGAUGACGUCAAAUCAUCAUGCCCUUUAUGACUUGGGCUACACACGUACUACAAUGGCGUUAAACAAAGAGAAGCAAGACCGCGAGGUGGAGCAAAACUCAGAAACAACGUCCCAGUUCGGACUGCAGGCUGCAACUCGCCUGCACGAAGUCGGAAUUGCUAGUAAUCGUGGAUCAGCAUGCCACGGUGAAUACGUUCCCG